RNAcentral lists this ribosomal RNA (460 nucleotides) under uncultured bacterium. RNAcentral's name for it is "partial 16S ribosomal RNA". It matches the Rfam family "Bacterial small subunit ribosomal RNA", at positions 29 to 523 of the family's 1533-position model. The record is from RNAcentral.
AAUGAACGCUGGCGGCAUGCCUAACACAUGCAAGUCGAACGAAGGCCCGAUUUCGGUUGGGUCCUUAGUGGCGCACGGGUGCGUAACGCGUGGGAAUCUGCCCCUCGGUUCGGAAUAACAGUUAGAAAUGACUGCUAAUACCGGAUGAUGACGUAAGUCCAAAGAUUUAUCGCCGAGGGAUGAGCCCGCGUAGGAUUAGCUAGUUGGUGUGGUAAGAGCGCACCAAGGCGACGAUCCUUAGCUGGUCUGAGAGGAUGAUCAGCCACACUGGGACUGAGACACGGCCCAGACUCCUACGGGAGGCAGCAGUGGGGAAUAUUGGACAAUGGGCGAAAGCCUGAUCCAGCAAUGCCGCGUGAGUGAUGAAGGCCUUAGGGUUGUAAAGCUCUUUUACCCGGGAUGAUAAUGACAGUACCGGGAGAAUAAGCUCCGGCUAACUCCGUGCCAGCCGCCGCAGUAA